RNAcentral lists this ribosomal RNA (477 nucleotides) under uncultured bacterium. Its description in RNAcentral is "partial 16S ribosomal RNA". It matches the Rfam family "Bacterial small subunit ribosomal RNA", at positions 28 to 507 of the family's 1533-position model. The record is from RNAcentral.
GAUGAACGCUGGCGGCGUGCUUAACACAUGCAAGUCGAGCGAACAGACGCGGAGUUUGCUCCUUUCUCGAGUGGCGCGCGGGUGAGUGACACAUGUGUAAAAUGCCCUUAACUGACUGGGAAAACUUCGGGACUGCGGCUCUUACAGCGUAUAAUAUAUUGAUCCGUAUGGUUGAAUAGAGAAAGUCGGCUUUGGGGGCAGUUCUGGAUGGAUCUGCGCCGCAUUGGCGAGUUGGUGAGGUAACGGCUUCCCAAGGCAACGAUGGGUGGGCGGCCUGAGAGGGGGAACGGCCACAUUGGGACUGAGAGACGGCGCAGACUGCUACGGGACGCAGCAGGGGGGAAUAUUGCAGAACGGGCGCAAGCCUGAUGCAGCGAUGCCGCGUGCGGGAUGACGUCUUUCGGGGUGUAAACCGAUUUCGAAGGAGACGAAGAGGUAGUGACGGUACCUGGUCAAGAAGCACCGGCUAACUACGUG